UUAUAUUUCAGUAGAGAGCUCGCCAUGAGAGCUGUACCGUGGCUUUAAACCAAAUCCCAAAGUAGAACUUAUAAGAUGAUUUCAACGACGAGUGUUCUAUCCUUUGUGGUAGAGGAGGUGAAGAGUGCAUUUAAGCGUCUCCAAGUUCAUAGAAGAGCCCCAUGCUCAAGAAGAGCGCACAACAGCCAAGUCAAGUAUACCCGGAGGGUUAAUGAAGCUCCACCCACCGAAAAGAAAACACGACCUGAAAACUCGUGUCAAAUGCGCGAAAACGAUUUGCAAGUGCAAAAUCGGGACACUGGGGCAGAGAGUAACAGUGGAGGCACGGAGGAUGAUGGGGAAAUUCUAGCGCAACCAUCCUGCGCUGAAUCAGUCACAGUUAAUCGAUUAAGUCCUAACAUGGUUUUUCAGGGGCAUGACGUAUUUUCUCGAAAUAUCACGGACAUUGCUGUUCGAAUACUUGAUGAAGCCAUUGUUUACCACCAAAGUGACGAGAUUGUCAGUGCGCGUAGAAGGGUAGAAGAUCUUUUCCAAAUACUGACCAAAAGUCAAGCACAUUGUUUUAAGGAUCCAACGAAGUAUGACUUGGAGGUACUAAGGCGUGGAAGAAAACACUUUCUGGAGGAGGGCGUGAGUUGUUCAAUAAAACACGGAACUUUACUCCUAGAUUCAAGUAGUCGUGGAGCACAGUUAAAACACGGAACUUUAGUCUUAGAUUCAAUUACUAGUGGAGCACAGUUUUACUCUGGAUUGCUAAACGUCUUGGCAGCAUUUGCAUUGCUUAUUUCCGAAUUUGAAAUUGCGCAAAAGACAUUUGACCUGCUGCUCCAAUUGCAUCACCAAUCCAAGACAACUGGUCGUUUACAAGACCUUGGUGCUGCCCACAACAACAUGGGGUGUGUUCAUCUCAUUAUGGGCGAUUUUCUAAAGGCAGAAGAAGCUUUUAAAACUUCCCUUGAAAAAUUUUGUCACUCGGAGAGCUCGUCAACUGAAAUAAAAGUUUUUGCUGUAAAUAACAACAUGAGCCGGUUAAAUCUGAUUUCUAAAAAGUAUUGCGAAGCCCUUGAACAACAAGAGAAAUUGGUAAAAAUCUGCCAAGCUACAGAAAGAAAGGAUGUACCAUAUCCAUUUGAAGUGGUAUUUACGGUAAUGAAUAAUCAGGCGGUGUUGCAUACCACCCUUGGGGACUUCAACAGAGCAGAAAAUGCAUUGAGGUGGUUGAUAACCUACUGCAAAGAAAUGAAUAGGAAAGACUCUGUGUAUCUGGUAACUUUCCUUCGUUUGCAUCUUUCUGAAGUUCUGCUCCUUCAUGGCAAACCAAAGGAGGCUGAUGAAGUGUUUAGCAUUGAAACUUUGAAUUCACUUGAAGAUGUUGUUGACAGGUUUGGAAACCUUUACAUGAACGUGAGAAUCGUAGCUCUUGAGAAGUUAUUAGCGGUCUACAUCUGCAAAGGAAAAAUCAAAACUGCUUUGAAGCUCUUGCAAACAUCCUUAAAAAUCCUUAAGAGUGUGUUUGGAGAAGAUCAUUUCAACUUUGCCUUCCUGUUGUACAAACAAGGCAAAAUUUUGAGUCUUGCUGGAGAAUUCCCCAGCGCCGCUGCAAAGUUCGAGAGUUCCAGUCACAUUCUGCAACAGAUCUUCGGCGUUAAAAAUCACCUCCUUCUCAAGUGCUAUCUGUAUCUUGGUGACUUGAAAUCGAUACUGGGUCAAAAAGAUGGAUCUUACGUUUACUAUCAGAGAGCCGCUGAGAGCAUAGAAGCCAUUUUCCAAGUGUCUUUUGUGGAGGAAUUGUCAAUUAAGUACAUGGAAAUUAUUGGCGGGUACAAAACCUUUCAAAGGCAGCGAGUAUCAGAGGAUGGAAUUGAAGGUUUGGUCGCCGAGUAUGGGCAUGUCUUGGCCAUACUGUUAAACCACGACAGUAACAGUCACUUGAGGAAACGCAUAGCUGAUGGAAAAGAGGUCACCGUGAAGAAAAUGACACGUCUCUGCUCAAUAUCGAGGUCGACCCUCUCUUUGAAAUGUUCAUUAGAUUUUCUUAAGAGUGGACGAAAGCUUCUCCGUUAUGGAAUGAUAAAGGAAGCUGUCAUUUUUUUCCAACAAGCAGACAUGCAUUGUGGAGUGCAUGCAAUCCAAGCUCACCCUGAUGUGAGUGUCGCACGCCUACACAACAUAUUCCUUCGGAAGAAAUUUAAACGUCAAGAGACAUUAAAACUAGACCGCAACUUGAGAGACUUUAUGAAAGCCCUUGGCAAAGUCAUACAAGAAAGAAGUUCUGAGAGCAUCGUGGAAGAAACUUCUGGAGCUACGCCAACGGUGGAGUCUGACAUUAAUCUAGACUUGAGGCCUGUGCUUAUCUCUCUUCUGCUGUUCUGCAUAGAGCGAAAAAUGAUCGAAACCACCUUUGAAGCCUAUGAUCUAUAUUGCAAACUUUUUCAAAACGAAACGGAUUCCCCAUUUUUGCUCCUCGAUGGGAUUCAGGUUUAUGCUUCAAGAACUGUAAUCACCUGUAAUGGGAAAACAGCUUUACAAGAUAUUCUCAUUUUCUCUGAAAUUGGUCUGAACGCGAGCGACGUGGAAGGCGAUGCCGCGGACACACAGCUGUUUCGCAGCCUGGCGUACAUGGAAAAUGCACCCAGAAAUGCUUUUCUGGUGGCCAGCAAAUCACCGGUCUUUUUAGAUGUCGAUGACCUUCAUUCUCUAAAGGAAAAGAUCACGCUUGCGGUACAAGAGUGCUUUCAAAGAACGUGCUUUGAAGCUGAAAACAAAAGCCACGCGAUGCAGGUCAUUUUGGAUUUAACUCCAACAGUAUCAUGUGGCCUCCAAGACAUCUUGUGUACAGACAGUCGUAUUGAUUUGUUACCUCUUUGUUUAUCAGAACUUUCAAGCAAUGACACACCCCAUAAAAAGACAAUCUUUGAGAUAGAAACAUCAAUGUGUCAGAGGAUUACUCAGGUGACGUUUAAAGAUGAGCAAACAAGCUGUUUCAUGUUUAGAAAAGUUGCACUGAACCUUCUUCAGCAGAAUGACACAGAAAGAAUCUCAUCAAUACUGGCACAGAAUCACAGCUUUUCCUUGACAGUUCUCCAUCCCGGAAAGGCAAGGCUGGUUAUGUCACGCAGGGAAAAAUUGAUCACGCAAAAGAUCCAGUUCGUUACAACAAGAACAACUAUUACCAAGUAUGAAGUGCCAUCAGUCACACUCUGUGAAACCAGUAGCACCUCGAAUCAUGGGUGGAAGGGAACUAAAAACUCUUCUCAAGUCUACAAAGGAGAAACUGCUGUUCCUUCUGAAUUCGAAGUGGAAGACAGGCAAAAACAAAGAAGAGAGAAACUUGUAGAGUGCCUCAUGACUGUCAGCCAGAUAUCACGACUGCUUUACAGCGUGGAAAGUCCAGUGACUCACGAUGACAUCUGUCUGGCGGAUCCGGAUCAAUGUCAUAAUGCUCAUGAAAGUCUGGAAGACGAGAAAUGCAUUUCCAGGGAGGAUAAAGUAAGUUUGGAGGAUCUGGGUGACGAUGACGCAAGACGUCUGGCUGCUUCCUUUCAAACUCAGGAAGACCAGGAAAACACUUCGAGUACACAUCAGCAUUUGACAGAGAGUUCAGAAGGAAAUGAAAAUAAUAAGCGUACGUUGAACGUUCCUAACAUUAACACUGUUGAGACUAGCAAAAGUAACCAUGGUGACGAAUCCAUGCCCAGAGAAGACGUUUGUGAGAUAUUGGAGGGGAAACGUCUAUUUGAAGACGAUAGAAAGUCAAGACGUUUUUUUAUGGCUGACUUGCAAAAAAGCUUGAAGGAUAAGCAACAAGGCCAACUGAACUCCAAUAAAGGUGAGUCAAUUCAAUCCAACAGAGCAGACCCAUAUGAUGUUUCAAAGUUGCAGUCAAGCCAUAUGCAAAAUGAUAGCAACUGUGGUAAUUUGGAGGUUCCGCAUGAAAAUCCAGAGGCCCAGGAACCAAGCCCAACUCCCACUUCCAGAAAUGUUAGUACUCAGGAAAAUAGCCAUAGGAUUAGUUCACUGGAGGGCAAGACGGCUAAGGAAGAUGACAAACUCAUGACAAAACAGCCUUCACCACAAAGCCCAGCCCCUAACAACGUAGGACAUCGUAACAACUUCGAGGACGUAAGUAGCCGCUUGCUUAAAACAACGCUGGAAAAAGAGACCCCCCUCGCAGCCUCCAAAAAAAGUGACGGCUCUAGCCUUUUGGAAAGAAAGCCGUACGCUGAGAACGUAGAGACAGCGAGAAAUGAUGUUCGUUCAAGCACGCAAAGCACUAUUAAAACCAACAGGCAGACCCCCUCACGUAGCCAAGAGGUACAAGACACUUUAAGAGUUGAUGAAAAAGAGGAAAGGCAGGCGAAACCCAGCAUAGAUAAUUUUAAAAGGAGAAAACAACACAUUGGGGAAGGAAGCGAACGAAAUGAGGUGGAAAUCGCAGCAUAUGGAACCAAUACACCGGAAAAUCAAGAAACUCCUCGUCCAGAUUAUGACGACAAGGCGACAUUGAAAACAUUUGGUUCAGUUGCUGGAGAAGUUUUCCCAGUUGGAUCCAUGAACAACGGUACCAGGGAAAGCCAAAAUAACGUGGUUGAUCUUUUAAAUGAGACGCAUAGUGUGGAUGGGCCAAACCUACUAGAGGAAAAUGGAAUGCAUUCUACGAAAAAAAGAGAACUAACCAUACAUUCCAAGUCAAUAGCCACCAUCUCAAUCUGCAAUAAAACUAUCCCUAGAUUCUUGUGUCAAGGGGGUGAUGUUACUGACGGCGAAAGCCACAAGGACCUUGCUGUUGAUGCAUCAGUUCUUGCCAAACAUUCUGACAAGGACAAUCUUGACUUUGUGUUCAUACCUAACCACGAGGUAGAAGAUGCUAUCGGAGUUGAUCUAGAGGGGCAAAGACAAACGAAGCCUGAUGUAAGUAAAUUUAACAUUAGAAAACAAGACCUUGAAGGCAGGGAACGAAGUGGGGCGGAAAUCACAGGAAGAAAAAACAAUACACUAGAAAAGCAAGGCACUUCUUGUUCUGAUCAUAAAGAGAUGACAACAGGGAGAACAUUUGAAGCACUCGGAAGUAAUCAGAGUAACGUGGUAGAUUUUCCAAGACAGACAGAUUUCGUUGACGGGCCCAAAUCAAAAGAAGAAAAUGGAACGCAAUCUUUAAACCAAGGCUCAAGAGUAAUAGACCCAAUAAAUUCAUACGGCCAGAUACAUGUCAAUUCACAAGCCACUAUCUCAAACCACUAUGAAACUAGCACCAGAUCGAUAUGUCAAGGGGGCGAUGUUGUUGCUGACGGCGAAAGCAAUGAAGACAAUCUUAAUAACUUUGAUACUGGAGAUGGACCAGCACUGACACAAAAUCCAAUCAAGGCAUUUAAUGCUGGCGAGAGGUUCACAGCCGACAUGAGGCACAAACGUGUAAUCUCAUGUAGCGAAAACGAGUCACAUACAGAUAGAGAUGCGCUCUGCGAACACAGAUAUCCUCUUAAAAGUAAGACUGACCUCUUUGAAUCUCACUCGUACGACGGGGGAGCAAGACCCAAACAGAGAUCAACAGAUAAUGCCAAAUGCCCCUUACCAUGGCCCAGCGUUACAAAUCCAGUUUCAGCUUACUGUGACUUCGAAUUAGAAAAUCCGGACGAAGAUCCUAUAAUUAUGACACGUCACGUCAAAGAGAGUAGCCCAUUUCCUUCGUUUCACUACGGGGGCAACUAUAAUCUUGCUUCAUUAGACGGUCCGCGGCAGGAAGAUUACGAACAGGAGUACUCUUCAUCUAAUGCUCAUGACCAAGUCUUAAAAGGCAAAGGUCAGAAUUCACCCGACAAGAAAGAGUUCAUUCCACACGAUAUAACCCAAAAAUAUAAUAUGAGUGUUCCUGUAUAUAACGCGUCAGUAACCAAAAACUUUAGUUUUAAUCAAGUAUCGCCACCUGACGGAAAUGAUAAAGAGAGCUGGCAUUUUCCAUCCUCGGAGUCCUGGGAAGAUAGGGUGCCGCGAAGUCAAUGCUUUGCCGAGAGGAAAAACGAGUCAAAUCCAACAUCGCUGCCAAAAUCUUUUGAUGCUAACCGUGAGAAACUCUUCAAUACGUGUAGAUCGGUAUGCGCUUACAACGACAUGGAUUCAAUGGCUAAUGAAUACUCCAGCAGUAUAGCUAACGAUGAAUGUGGGCAGUCGCUACCAUUCAGUGAGAAUGAGCAUCCAUCAACAGAACAUUCACUGGCCUCUAGUUUUAGAUGUCUUCAAGAGAUAAUGAACAAGACUAUUCGGCUUGUUGUCUCAAAUGCUACGGGCGCGGGGGAAACUCAACCCGCAAACCAGUCAGUCGAAAAGACAGGCGUACAAGAAGAAACGGGCAAUAUGGGUGGAGGGGAACUAGACGUAACACAACAAGUUAACGAGACGAAUACUCAAGUAGAAUCUACCCCAUCAAAUGAAACGACAAUAGAAGCCGAGCGGCAACCUAUGGCAACACCUGUACAAGAAAGUCCACGCCCGGUUUGCAGUCAUUAUCAACGCCGAUGCUUGGUUCGGUUUCCCUGCUGUGGAAAGUUCUUCCCAUGCCACCGCUGUCACAACGAGUCAGAUUGUAGUGAGGAUCAGGCGAGAGCAAUUAAUGCCACACACAUACGAUGCACUAUCUGCUAUCACGAGCAAGAGAUCGAUGAAAAUAGCCAGAGAUGUGGCGGCUGCAACGCAAUCAUGUCUGAAUAUUUCUGCUCAACAUGUCGCCAUUAUACCUCCAUGGAUAAAAAUCCCUUCCACUGCGAAAAAUGCGGUAUCUGUAGGAUCCAUCGAGACAGAUCCUUCCACUGCGAUGUUUGUAACGUAUGCCUGGACAAACGUCUUGAAGGAAAACACAAGUGCAGACCUGAUUCUGGACACGAUGAAUGUUGUAUAUGUCUUGAGGACGCCUUCAGUGGUUGUCAAAUUCUCCCAUGCUCUCACAAGGUUCACAAAGACUGUGCGAUUGCAAUGAUACAAAAUGGCGUCCGAAAGUGCCCAAUAUGCCGACAUCCGUUGUUCGGGCAACUUCAAACUAGUUCUCAAAAUUAGCUCAAACAACUGCAAAAUUUCAUUACGAUAGUAAUUUUACCCCUCACUUUUACAAAAUCAUUUUAAUCAUUAAUCAAUUUGUGACCUGCUUUUCUUACUAGCUCGUCCAAACUAAUACCAUAUAUCUCCCAGUGCUCAGAAAAUACCACCGUAUUAGCUACGAGCGAAAUUCUUUCAUAACUACAGCCGCGACCAUAUUAAUUCUCUAUGUCUUUUUUUUUUUAAAUCUAAUGGCUACUGAGCAGGACAUAACAAAUGCACCUUUCUGCACCGGCAAAACAUGACUUUAUUUUUUAACUUAGAAAUGAGUAGGUCUUGAGGAUGCGAGAAAAUUGAGAAAAAUAAGAAUAAAAACCAACAAGAAACAAAGACAAACUCAAAAGUGAAACUUAAAACACGCACACACAAAAAAAAGAAAAAGCGGACAACCAGUCAAGUAACUAAACAAAUGAAAGUGACACAACAACAUUCCAAGAGAAAGAUCGAGAAAACAUACGAACAAACGAAUGCAUAAACAAAUACAUUUACAAGAAAAGAAUACCAAAAACCAAGGCAAUAGAACAAACCCUUCACUUUGCAAAGGUUUUCCUUGGUAUAGUUAACUCAUGUAAAAAUAAAUACUAUCAGUUUUGAGUAAACGAUCGGAUCACUGAAACUGUGGAAUCUCCUACACUGAAUGCGAGAGAAGUCACCCGCCGAUACCGUAAUGGAAUGCAAUCACUCGACGCAAGCUGCAGGAAUGGCUUCUGGAUCUUCGCGCGGAAAUCUGAUUUUCACUUUUGAAAUGUGAUUACCAAACGAAAAGCUUCGCAUGACAAGCUGAAGUCUACCACUUAUUUUGUCGUUAUAUAAAGUGCAUGUUUAUAAGAACCACCGACAGAGACGCAAAUAUAUCGCAGAAUUGUUGUCUCAAUGUUCUGGCCUCUGAUUGGCAAAGAAUUAGAAAUUUCACUUGCAGUGCGGUACUGCUACCGUGCAUUAAACAAAAGCGGAGUUGCGAGACAUAUCUUUGAGCUCUAUAGCAAUUUUUUUCUAUUUUGUUUGGGGGGGAAUAAUUUUUUUGAGGAAGUAGUAUAGAAAUUAGAGAAUUGUAGUCGAUUUCAAAUUUGUCUUUUCACUAGUUAACCAACACCAAUAAUAUCUGUGAGGAUGUCAAUAAAAAUCAGUCUUAAUUUCUA
RNAcentral lists this unclassified non-coding RNA (8225 nucleotides) under Stylophora pistillata. RNAcentral describes it as "uncharacterized LOC111340074, transcript variant X2". Lineage: Eukaryota; Metazoa; Cnidaria; Anthozoa; Scleractinia; Pocilloporidae. The record is from RNAcentral.